GACGAACGCUGGCGGCGUGCUUAACACAUGCAAGUCGAACGGAAAGGCCCUGCUUGCAGGGUACUCGAGUGGCGAACGGGUGAGUAACACGUGGGUGAUCUGCCCUGCACUUCGGGAUAAGCCUGGGAAACUGGGUCUAAUACCGGAUAGGAGCCAUUUUUAGUGUGAUGGUUGGAAAGUUUUUUCGGUGUAGGAUGAGCUCGCGGCCUAUCAGCUUGUUGGUGGGGUAAUGGCCUACCAAGGCGGCGACGGGUAGCCGGCCUGAGAGGGUGGACGGCCACAUUGGGACUAGGAGACGCACCAGACUCCUACGGGAGGCAGCAGUGGGGAGUAUUGCACAAUGGGGGGAAGCCUGAUGCAGCGACGCCGCGUGGGGGAUGACGGCCUUCGGGUUGUAAACUGCUUUCGCUAGGGACGAAGCUUUUUGUGACGGUACCUUGAUAAGAAGCACAGGCUAACUACGUG
Molecule: ribosomal RNA, 465 nt
Filed under: uncultured bacterium
Lineage: Bacteria
Description: partial 16S ribosomal RNA
Rfam family: Bacterial small subunit ribosomal RNA
Source: RNAcentral